This 253-nucleotide ribosomal RNA is filed under the name uncultured bacterium. Its description in RNAcentral is "partial 16S ribosomal RNA". It matches the Rfam family "Bacterial small subunit ribosomal RNA", at positions 524 to 776 of the family's 1533-position model. The record is from RNAcentral.
UACGAAGGGUGCUAGCGUUGUUCGGAAUUACUGGGCGUAAAGCGCGCGUAGGCGGCUAUACAAGUCAGGGGUGAAAUCCCGGGGCUCAACCCCGGAACUGCCUUUGAAACUGUAUAGCUGGAGUGUGUGAGGGGAUGGCGGAAUUCCUAAUGUAGAGGUGAAAUUCGUAGAUAUUAGGAGGAACACCGGUGGCGAAGGCGGCCAUCUGGCACACAACUGACGCUGAGGCGCGAAAGCGUGGGGAUCAAACAGG